RNAcentral lists this ribosomal RNA (303 nucleotides) under uncultured bacterium. RNAcentral's name for it is "partial 16S ribosomal RNA". It matches the Rfam family "Bacterial small subunit ribosomal RNA", at positions 507 to 807 of the family's 1533-position model. The record is from RNAcentral.
AGCAGUAGCCGCGGUAAUACGGAGGGAGCUAGCGUUAUUCGGAAUUACUGGGCGUAAAGCGCACGUAGGCGGCUUUGUAAGUUAGAGGUGAAAGCCUGGAGCUCAACUCCAGAAUUGCCUUUAAGACUGCAUCUCUUGAAUCCAAGAGAGGUGAGUGGAAUUCCGAGUGUAGAGGUGAAAUUCGUAGAUAUUCGGAAGAACACCAGUGGCGAAGGCGGCUCACUGGCUUGGUAUUGACGCUGAGGUGCGAAAGCGUGGGGAGCAAACAGGAUUAGAUACCCGUGUAGUCCCUGUCUCUUAUAC